This 499-nucleotide ribosomal RNA is filed under the name uncultured Glomeromycotina. RNAcentral's name for it is "partial small subunit ribosomal RNA". It matches the Rfam family "Eukaryotic small subunit ribosomal RNA", at positions 591 to 1092 of the family's 1831-position model. Lineage: Eukaryota; Fungi; Glomeromycota. The record is from RNAcentral.
CCAAUAGCGUAUAUUAAAGUUGUUGCAGUUAAAAAGCUCGUAGUUGAAUUUUGGGCCUGGACGGACGGUCCACCUUCCGGUGAGCACUGAUCCGGAGCCGGGCCUAUCCUUCUGGUGAGACGGCAUGCCCUUUGUUGGGUGUGUUGGGGAACCAGGACCAUUACCUUGAAAAAAUUAGAGUGUUCAAAGCAGGCAUUUGCUCGAAUACAUUAGCAUUGAAUAAUGAAAUAGGACGCGUGGUACUAUUUUGUUGGUUUCUAGGACCGCCGUAAUGAUUAAUAGGGAUAGUUGGGGGCAUUAGUAUUCAAUUGUCAGAGGUGAAAUUCUUGGAUUUAUUGAAGACUAACUUCUGCGAAAGCAUUUGCCAAGGAUGUUUUCAUUAAUCAAGAACGAAAGUUAGGGGAUCGAAGACGAUCAGAUACCGUCGUAGUCUUAACCAUAAACUAUGCCGACUAGGAAUCGGGCGAUGUUAAUUUAACGACACGCCCGGCGCCUUAUG